Leopardus geoffroyi (Geoffroy's cat) is the source of this 126-nucleotide long non-coding RNA. RefSeq lists it as uncharacterized. The transcript is spliced from 5 exons. The record is from RefSeq and is a predicted model, not a curated record. Lineage: Eukaryota; Metazoa; Chordata; Mammalia; Carnivora; Felidae.
UAGGCUUAGGGUUAGGGUUAGGGUUAGUUGAAUUGUGUGGACUGCUGAUUAUGUAGGUUUUUAUUUAACAUGGGUGAACAGCCAUACGUUCACACGGUUCCCCUAACAGAGGAGAGGCACAAACAC